UAAAGUCUAAUCUGCCCACUGAUAUAAUAUUAAAGGGGUGCAGUAUUUUGAGUGUACAAAGGUAGCAUAAUCAUUAGUCUUUUAAUUGAAGACUUGUAUGAAUGAUUGGAUGAAAUAUAAACUGUCUCUAAUAUUAUUAGUUAGAAUUUAAUUUUUUUAUUAAAAAGUAAAAAUAAAUUUAAAAGACGAGAAGACCCUAUAGAGUUUUAUAAUUAAUUUAAUUGAAAUUAUUUAUAAAGAUAAUUUUAAAUUAAUAAAUUAAAAUUAAGUUAAUUAUUUUGUUGGGGUGAUAAAAAAAUAAAAAUAACUUUUUUUAAUAAAUAUAUAUAUAUAUAUAUAUAUAUAUAUAUAUAUAUAUUGUAAACAAAAAUAAAUGAUUUUUUGAUCCAGAAUUUUUGAUUAUAAGAAAAAAUUACCUUAGGGAUAACAGCGUAAUUUUUUUUUUUAGUUCAAAUAAGAAAAAGAGUUUGCGACCUCGAUGUUGGAUUAAGGAAAAAUUUAAAUGCAAAAGUUUAAAAUUUUG
Molecule: ribosomal RNA, 523 nt
Filed under: Cryptoses choloepi
Lineage: Eukaryota; Metazoa; Arthropoda; Insecta; Lepidoptera; Pyralidae
Description: partial 16S ribosomal RNA
Source: RNAcentral